RNAcentral lists this unclassified non-coding RNA (82 nucleotides) under Pseudomonas lini. Lineage: Bacteria; Pseudomonadati; Pseudomonadota; Gammaproteobacteria; Pseudomonadales; Pseudomonadaceae. The record is from RNAcentral.
GGAGCGGGCUUGCUCGCGAAGGCGGCAUAACAGCCAACAUUGAUAUUGAAUGUUAGUCAGUCUUCGCGAGCAAGCCCGCUCC